CUUAGCUUCUCUUAUUUAAUC
This 21-nucleotide unclassified non-coding RNA is filed under the name Latilactobacillus sakei. Its description in RNAcentral is "Lactobacillus sakei ctRNA_pT181". Lineage: Bacteria; Bacillati; Bacillota; Bacilli; Lactobacillales; Lactobacillaceae. The record is from RNAcentral.